UUGACCACGGCUUCCUGUAUCGCGAGUUAUUGACUUCUGGCACGCAGAUGGGAGCAAGAUAGUUUUGUAUUUUAAUGAUUCUGCCACCCUCAGUUGGUUUCAGUUCAGCUGAACAUUCUAUUGUUAUAGCAACCCCAGUAGAAAUAAAAUUGCCUUCUUUUCCAUUUGAUUGUUUAUGGUGUGGCAGUUAGCAAGCUAACAUUGUUACAUUCAACUUUUUAUCAGGCCAACUCCUGUCGACUUCAACCUUUAUUGGUGUGUUUACUUGCUGCAUAGCUGUACACCUACAAUACAAACAGUGAGGGCAGGGUCCUGUAACCUCAAUGCCCGACGGGAGGCGGAUGCCCCUGGCUCAGCCCAGGGCCUUUGUGUCAAGUUGAGUAUUUCUGCCUCUGUUAUUAAGGGGAUUAGUCUGAUGGCCCAGCUGUAGCUGAGCACAUGGUGAGUACAUAAUCAAUAAUGGAAGGCUGUACAAACCCAGAAGAACAGUCUCACACAG
This is a long non-coding RNA of Etheostoma spectabile (orangethroat darter), 499 nucleotides long. RefSeq lists it as uncharacterized. The transcript is spliced from 3 exons. The record is from RefSeq and is a predicted model, not a curated record. Lineage: Eukaryota; Metazoa; Chordata; Actinopteri; Perciformes; Percidae.